GUGAAACCGCUCAGUUUAAACUGUUAACGGUGCAGGGAACAACAAAAACAUAAUGACAUAAUAGCAAGUGCCUUAGGGGGAUUCUGAGAAGGGGAACCAAGUUUCUGUGAAAGGGAGGGGUGGAGCUUCAGCACCGAAUAUGAAAGUGAAUGGAGUUGAGGCUGAAAUCUGACUUCAGGAAAAGAAGGAUAAGUUUUCAUAAACAGAAACAAAGUCUGAGCCUAAAGUGAUAUCAAGAUGUCCAAGAAAAGUGUUUUUGUUUUACAAACUGGAAAUACACUAAAUUCCCACAAGGACUUCAUAGAUCAUCUUAAAAAACAAGUACCUCUGCAGGAGGUGUUUACAGUAGCUGAGUGUAAUUUCAUUCUGGUUUUCUGCCCUGUUGUGUUGCGAGCUGGAACUGACAUUGAAGC
Clarias gariepinus (North African catfish) is the source of this 413-nucleotide long non-coding RNA. RefSeq lists it as uncharacterized. The record is from RefSeq and is a predicted model, not a curated record. The transcript is spliced from 3 exons. NCBI's taxonomy places the organism in Eukaryota, Metazoa, Chordata, Actinopteri, Siluriformes, Clariidae.